This 1246-nucleotide ribosomal RNA is filed under the name Meyerozyma sp. mYJdd10. RNAcentral describes it as "SSU rRNA". It matches the Rfam family "Eukaryotic small subunit ribosomal RNA", at positions 21 to 1273 of the family's 1831-position model. The record is from RNAcentral. Lineage: Eukaryota; Fungi; Ascomycota; Pichiomycetes; Serinales; Debaryomycetaceae.
AAAGGGUAUGACCUCAUCCUUGAUCGCCAUGACACGUCUAGUAUAAGCAAUUUAUACAGUGAAACUGCGAAUGGCUCAUUAAAUAGUUGUCGUUUAUUUGAUAGUACCUUUACUACUUGGAUAACCGUGAAUAAUUCUAGAGCUAAUACAUGCUAAAAAUCCCGACUGUUUGGAAGGGAUGUAUUUAUUAGAUAAAAAAUCAAUGCUCUUUGAGCUCUUUGAUGAUUCAUAAUAACUUUUCGAAUCGCAUGGCCUUGUGCUGGCGAUGGUUCAUUCAAAUUUCUGCCCUAUCAACUUUCGAUGGUAGGAUAGUGGCCUACCAUGGUUUCAACGGGUAACGGGGAAUAAGGGUUCGAUUCCGGAGAGGGAGCCUGAGAAACGGCUACCACAUCCAAGGAAGGCAGCAGGCGCGCAAAUUACCCAAUCCCGACACGGGGAGGUAGUGACAAUACAUAACGAUACAGGGCCCUUUCGGGUCUUGUAAUUGGAAUGAGUACAAUGUAAAUACCUUAACGAGGAACAAUUGGAGGGCAAGUCUGGUGCCAGCAGCCGCGGUAAUUCCAGCUCCAAUAGCGUAUAUUAAAGUUGUUGCAGUUAAAAAGCUCGUAGUUGAACUUUGGGCUUGGUUGGCCGGUCCGCCUUUUUGGCGAGUACUGGACCCAACCGAGCCUUUCCUUCUGGCUAACCAUUCGCCCUUGUGGUGUUUGGCGAACCAGGACUUUUACUUUGAAAAAAUUAGAGUGUUCAAAGCAGCCUUUGCUCGAAUAUAUUAGCAUGGAAAUAAUAGAAUAGGACGUUAUGGUUCUAUUUUGUUGGUUUCUAGGACCAUCGUAAUGAUUAAUAGGGACGGUCGGGGGCAUCAGUAUUCAGUUGUCAGAGGUGAAAUUCUUAGAUUUACUGAAGACUAACUACUGCGAAAGCAUUUGCCAAGGACGUUUUCAUUAAUUCAAGAACGAAAGUUAGGGGAUCGAAGAUGAUCAGAUACCGUCGUAGUCUUAACCAUAAACUUAUGCCGACUAGGGAUCGGGUGUUUGUUCUUUUUUUGACCGCACUCGGCACUUACGAGAAAUCAAGUCUUUGGUUCUUGGGGGGGUAUGGUCGCAGCCUGAACCUUAAGACUGAACGAACGUCACACCAGGAAUGGAGCCUGGCGGCUUAAUUGAACUCAACGGUGGAAAUCUCCACAAGGUCCAGAACAAUUAGGAAUGGACCGAAUUGAGAGACUCUUUCUCUCGUGAAAUUUGUG